This is a long non-coding RNA of Phlebotomus papatasi, 394 nucleotides long. RefSeq lists it as uncharacterized. The record is from RefSeq and is a predicted model, not a curated record. The transcript is spliced from 3 exons. Lineage: Eukaryota; Metazoa; Arthropoda; Insecta; Diptera; Psychodidae.
GGGAGAUCUCGUUCCAGUUACCAAAAAUUUUUCCUACCCUUAUCCUAUUUCUCAAUGGAAACAGUUCUGUAUUCUACUGGGCAGGGCUUUCUUAUGCAAUAGAAGAGAAUUUAUUGUAACACAGUUAAAAAUAAUAGUUCAUCUAUUUUCGGGAAUACUAUUUGGUUUCGCAUUUUACGAUAUUGGGAAUGAUGGCAGUAGAGUUCUAGCUAAUAUAUCUCUUAUAUUUAUCCUUAUAUUACUCACAUUUUUCGGCAACUCACUACCUAUAAUUCUGCUUUAUCCUUCGGAAUCUAAUAUUUUUCACAGGGAAUACUUGAACAACCGAUAUUCCUUCUUUCCAUACUUUUACUCAAAGAUUGUUGCAGACCUACCAACACUGACAAUAUGUACA